AAAAAAAAAAAAAAAGACGAGGGGAACAAAUUAAGUAAUGAAGAAUUACCAUUUACUCAUUUCUUUUCUUCAUUCUCCUGAUCCGAAUAUCCUUCUCUGUAACAGAUUGUAUGAUACUAAAAACGGGUAAAUAGAGAAGAAAAGGAAAAAUAAAAGAUGAACACGAACAAAAUGCAGAAUCAAUUGAUCUCAUCCAUUCAAAAACUAAUCUUAGACACGCAAAAUGUAAAUUUUUACGUAGAAUUAUCCAAAGAAAAAACAAAUUAUGUUAAUCUGUAUGCUAUUCUUACAGUAAAGAGUUUUAUUGAUAUUAGUAAAUCGGACCCUUACAAAAAAAGCAGAAGGGAAUUUCGAGUGGUUAUAUCACAAUAUUAUAUUUGAUCUCCAAAAUUUAAAAUCGGAGAAAAAAAGAAGAAAAGCAAAAGACCAAAAUUUCAUGGCUCAUCUUCAAUGACUGAAGCCAAACCCGUCACGAUCUUAACCCCAAUCUGAAAACUUUUGGGCUUAAUCUCAGGUGGUUUCCAUUCUCGCACCACCGUCUCGUUCUCUUCUUCCUCGGAACUUUCAGAUGACAAAGCAAAGACAGACUCGCCCAACUCAGUAUCCUCCAACGAGUUCUCCUCUUUGCCGCUCGGUGGAAAAUUGUUGAUCCCUUUUGGAACCAAAGUUUGCUCCUUUUGAGGUUUGGGACCGGUUUUGUCUGAGGAAAGAGGCGGUGUAGCUCGCAAAUAAGGAGAAAGCCAUUUAGCUUCGACAUACUCGGCUUUUCUCCAAGGUGGAAUGUGCAUACCCUUCUUCUUGAGGCUCUGCUUGGCUGCAUUUGAUACGACGGAGAUGAUCUUCUGGAGACGACCGGCUUUGCCCACAAAGAUGUGGGGAAUAGAUUGAAGAAGAGAUUUGUAGGCCUUGGUUGAUCGAGCAAUUUCAAAUUCUGAUCUGAAAUCAAUGUCAAUUAGCAGUCUCUCGCCUGAGAUGAUCACGUCUAUGUACUCAUACUCACCUGCAUCAGCAAUUAAAUUUACCAUUUCUCAGGAUUUAUUGUAAACAUAGCAUGUGUUAGACUACAGAUUGAUAUGUAAUUCCCUCACUCAAAUCCUCAAUCGUAAACAAACGGUGAAAAAAAUGAUAAUUUUCAAAAUUGAAACUUUCAAAUGUUCUCCAGAAAAAUAAAAAUUACUCCUCCGCAGAAUUGAAAUUUGCAAGUCGUAUAAGAGGGAGGUUGAUUUUUUUUAAUAAUUCUUAUUUUAAUUAUUAUUGUCUUUGAUUAAAUUCCUAGUUCUUGCUUGCUUCCGGCAACCAACAGAACAGAUAGAUACUUUUCCAAAUUGAGAGAGAGACGCGGCUUAAGCGAGAGAAAGUACCGGCGGGAUGGGUGGGGGAUUUUUCCCAACGAGAUUUGCAGAUUGAAACGUCGUAUCCAAGAGCCUGCAAUCCAUCAGUAACGAUCCUCAUGGAAAAAUCGUCUUUGCGCUUGCAGAUCUUGUUCUUAUCAACGAUCCCCGCAGUGUCCGCUAGCAAAUUCCUCUCAGAAACACUUGCACAAGGGACCAAACUCUUUAGAAUUUCAAUUCCUUCGCUGGAAGAAACAAAAUUAGAGUCACCAAAACCAUCAAAAGCUUCGAAUUCGUCUUCCGAGCUGUCAUUACAUUUCCCGUUGAAGCAGUUGCAGCGACUGCGGCCGCACCUCACUGCCGUGGACGAUUGCUUCUCGUUGCUCUCCUCGAUGAAGUUCUGUACCAUCUUCGCCAAGCACAGUGAGCUAGGCUCAAACUCAGUCGAGCCAUUAGCGCCGUCCUUAUGGAAAUGCGGCUCAACAACGAUGCCGACCUUUUCAGUGGCGGAAUUUCUCAGGAAUUGGAGCUCAAAGAGCCUCUUGAGACGCGAUUUCACCACUAGCUUUGCUGGCUCCAAUCUAGUCGACUCUUCAUGGGUGUGUGAAUCGAUUGGCUGGAUCUUCAUCUGAAAAGGCAUGAUCAGCGCGAUCAAGACCACGAGAAAUGCUUGAACCCACCACCGAUGUCAACAGAGUAUUAUCAUAAUUUCUCCUCCAUUUUCAAAAAUCUUAAUCACGAUCAAUAGCUCCUAAUCUACCAAAGCUCAACAGACUCUAUACUAAUUAUUUUCUCAGCUCUUCGUCUUGAGUACAAAAAUUGACGAAGAAGAAAAGGAAUUACGUAAAAGAAAAUCCAACAAGGUUAGUUACAAGUUUAAACCCUACAAAUCAAUCGAAACAACCACAAAUGAUGCACCAGACUCAUCAAUAACCCCACAAAAUGAGAUCAGCAAAUCGAAUCGACACAGAAAUUCAGAAUUUUGCCAAAGAUAAAGUGCGCCGAACAAAAUUCGAGACUCUUGAUGCUGAAACAGCUACUCUACACCUCCGAUUAUUAUAUACUAUUUAGCCUCUGAUACGCGAGACAAAGCAUGGAAUAACUUCUAAACUCUGCUAAGUAAAGUCGCUUUUGCUUAGGGUUUCUACAUACGGUUAAAGUUCCGAUUUACGCGACGGUAAGAUAACGUCACGCUUCCAUCUUCGUAAUUUAAACCACAAUCUAUAGCACGGACCAUCAUUUCUCCGGCAAAGGGCUUGAAAUCUCAGAUGAGAUUAUCGCCGGCGACGGACAAGAAAAGCAAAACUAAAAACCAGAGAAAGAGAGUGAGAGAGUGAGAGAAGGGGGGAUGAAAUAGGAACUUUAGUCGUGUAGUAAUUUGGGUUGUG
RNAcentral lists this unclassified non-coding RNA (2719 nucleotides) under Hevea brasiliensis (rubber tree). Lineage: Eukaryota; Viridiplantae; Streptophyta; Magnoliopsida; Malpighiales; Euphorbiaceae. The record is from RNAcentral.